This 83-nucleotide transfer RNA is filed under the name Chitiniphilus shinanonensis. RNAcentral describes it as "tRNA-Tyr". Lineage: Bacteria; Pseudomonadati; Pseudomonadota; Betaproteobacteria; Neisseriales; Chitinibacteraceae. The record is from RNAcentral.
UCGCCGUUGGCGAGGUUGUGCUUGCGGUUGUAGCUGGUGAGGUCGGUCAGGGUGAAGCCGUCGUGCGAGGUGACGAAGUUGAU